This 492-nucleotide ribosomal RNA is filed under the name uncultured bacterium. RNAcentral describes it as "partial 16S ribosomal RNA". It matches the Rfam family "Bacterial small subunit ribosomal RNA", at positions 29 to 507 of the family's 1533-position model. The record is from RNAcentral.
AGUGAACGCUGGCGGUAUGCCUAACACAUGCAAGUCGAACGGCAGCACAGUAAGAGCUUGCUCUUACGGGUGGCGAGUGGCGGACGGGUGAGGAAUACAUCGGAAUCUACUUUUUCGUGGGGGAUAACGUAGGGAAACUUACGCUAAUACCGCAUACGGCCUACGGGUGAAAGCAGGGGAUCUUCGGACCUUUCGCGAUUGAAUGAGCCGAUGUCGGAUUAGCUAGUUGGCGGGGUAAAGGCCCACCAAGGCGACGAUCCGUAGCUGGUCUGAGAGGAUGAUCAGCCACACUGGAACUGAGACACGGUCCAGACUCCUACGGGAGGCAGCAGUGGGGAAUAUUGGGCAAUGGGCGAAAGCCUGAUCCAGCCAUACCGCGUGGGUGAAGAAGGCCUUCGGGUUGUAAAGCCCUUUUGUUGGGAAAGAAAAAAAGCAGGUUAAUACCCCGCUGUUCUGACGGUACCCAAAGAAUAAGCACCGGCUAACUUCGUG